CAUGAAUAAAUUUUUUUUCAUCAUGCUCAUGAGAUGACAUUUUUAAUCAUGUUUGAGAUUCUACACGAUACUUUGAGCUUCAAAUUGAUGGUUAAGUUUGAUAAAAGAAAUUUGAAAUUCCUUUGCAGUCGGUCCUAAUCACCUGGACAAUUGUGAAUUGCCCAAAGCAGAGCAAUACAGAAAUGUUGGAUACAAACUCCAAGUUUGUUUAAAAUAUAUACCUUCAAAACAAAAUUAUUUUCCAUUCCUAAUAAUUCCAGCC
This 262-nucleotide long non-coding RNA is filed under the name Elaeis guineensis (African oil palm). RNAcentral describes it as "long non-coding RNA (EGUI_LNC007046)". Lineage: Eukaryota; Viridiplantae; Streptophyta; Magnoliopsida; Arecales; Arecaceae. The record is from RNAcentral.